Long non-coding RNA from Symphalangus syndactylus (siamang), 1271 nucleotides. RefSeq lists it as uncharacterized. Lineage: Eukaryota; Metazoa; Chordata; Mammalia; Primates; Hylobatidae. The record is from RefSeq and is a predicted model, not a curated record.
CAUUUAUAUGAAAACUAGAACUCUGGGACAAAAAUGGAACUCAUAUUCAAUCCUGUUAGCUCCCAUUUAUUUAGCAAAGUGAUUCUGUUAGCACCCAUUUGUUUAGCAGAGGGAUCUAACGCUGAAAACAAAUUCUGCUAGCUCUCUGGAAACAUUUAGCUCAGGAGUGGACAGUAUAAAAUACAGAGAGUUUUCAUGUAAUGAAUGUGCUGAGCUCACAAAAAGUUUAUGAUGAUAGGAACUGAGGGCCGUGGGAACCAUCGUCAGACAUUUGAGAGCCAACUCUUGAGAACGGGAUGGUGAAAUGUGAGUAGGAAUUUGACCGAGUAAGAACCAGACACAUGGGAGCCAAGGAAGUUUGUUAACCUGGAGAUUAGUAAAAUCAAAUGUGCUCAGCAAGAAAGACCUGUCAGAGAGGAGGAGGAAUUGGUAGUAGGCAAAGCAAUUGGAGACCAGUGCAAUCUGCCAGAUGCAGCCUUCCCAGCCUCAUUUGGCCCAGGGCCAGCUCUCCCUUCUCAGAGAAUAGUCACCACUAACUACAGGAAGCAUUUGCUGAGUACUUGCCAUGGAUGAAGCUCAUUCCCAGGGCUGAAGGCUGAUUUCCUGCCUUUGGCAAGGGGUCAUACACAUCCUUACUGUUAUCUAUGUAUAAAAUCUUCUAUUCCUGGAAGAGGUUUUAGAAAAUGAGCUGUAGAAUUUGGCUGGAUCCAAAUCACCCAGGAUCACCCAGCCAGUUAUCCCUGAGCAAAGUCAGGUUUCUCUAGACAGUACAAAGCUAAGUGUGGAGAGGGAGACUGACUGGAUCAGUGCAGGUAUCUAAUGGGGAAUCCUCCACAGCCAGAUCAUAUACAUGUAGCCUCCCAACUCUGCCUGGAGAAUGGGUAUUGCAGGCAAUCUUUACUGGGAAAACCUUCCCCUCUACCUGUCAAUCUACAGUUCAGAAGCGUGAACUAAAAAUGAAAUCCUAAGCCUCACAAUUGACUGAGCAGACCCCUUCUUGGCCAAGGGGACCCCAGAAAAACCUUAAAAACUGAGUUCCAGGUCAUGAUGGGAUGGGAGGUCAGAUAUGCCUUCUUAUACCCCCUCCCUUUUGCGGUUUAGACACAACGACUGACCAGCAUUAAUGUGAAAAUAGAGAGCAUAAGACUGAUGGAACGACAACAAAAAAUAAUAAUAAAUAAAUGUGUUUAAAGACUGAUGGAAUGGACUCUUUGUGGCAAUAUGAUAUCAAAUUAUAAAUAAGACCUAAGGCCAUGCUAGGCAAGAGUUAA